This 107-nucleotide small nuclear RNA is filed under the name Procavia capensis (Cape rock hyrax). Lineage: Eukaryota; Metazoa; Chordata; Mammalia; Hyracoidea; Procaviidae. The record is from RNAcentral.
GUGAUGGCUUCUGUAGCACAUAUACUAAAAUUGGAACUAUACAGAGUGGAUUAGCAUGUCCCCUGCACAAGGAUGACACGCAAAUUCAUGAAGCGUUCCAUAUUUUU